UUAUGUGAUUUCAAAAGUAAAUCGGAAAACUUUUGUGAAUGUGAAAAACGGAGCCUGGCUGAAUAAAAUGGAUUUAGUGCCAGAAAACUCCUCCAGUGCAAACAAGAGAACAACAGCAGGCGGCAGGGUGAAAUGGAGUGCCGCGCUUGAGUGCCUGCUGAUUGACAUAUGGCAGGAGAAAAUUGAAGAUUUGCGCGGACCACGCAGCACCCAAACAAAAUUCCAGAACGACUUAUUAGAAGUUUUAAAAAAUAAAAAUAAAUGAGUUUUUAAUUUUCA
Molecule: long non-coding RNA, 279 nt
Organism: Drosophila pseudoobscura
Lineage: Eukaryota; Metazoa; Arthropoda; Insecta; Diptera; Drosophilidae
Exons: 2
Source: RefSeq, a predicted model, not a curated record